Molecule: unclassified non-coding RNA, 291 nt
Organism: Colobus angolensis palliatus
Lineage: Eukaryota; Metazoa; Chordata; Mammalia; Primates; Cercopithecidae
Rfam family: Metazoan signal recognition particle RNA
About the family: The signal recognition particle (SRP) is a universally conserved ribonucleoprotein. It is involved in the co-translational targeting of proteins to membranes.
Source: Ensembl
GCUGAGGCUCAGGCCUGUAGCCUCAGCUACUGGGAAGGCUGAGGCAGGAGGAUUGCUUGAGUCCAGUUGUGGGUUGUAGUGCACUAGGCUGAUCAGGUAUUUGCCACUAAUUUUGGCAUCAAUAUGGUGACCUCUCAUGAGCAAGGGACAAUCAGGUUGCCUAAGGGGUGGUAAACUAGCCCAGGUCAGAACUGUAGCAGGUCAAAACUCCUGUGCUGAUUAGCAGUGGGACUGAGUCCAUGGAUAAUCACUGUACUCCAACUGGGGCAACAGAGAGAGACCCUACCCUGU